CUCACUGAACCUAUGGCUGUGCUGGCACAGCACAUGUGGCACCCAUUGUGGGGCCCGAGUUUGGGGGAAUUGCAGUUGUCAGAUGUAAGGACGCUCCAGUGAAGCACAUGCAGAGAGCAAAAAGGAAGAAGGAGCAGCGCAGCCAAUCUGGGUGCCAGAGCGUUACAUGCAUCACCACAAUGAACCCAGAGCAGCUCCUUCUCCCUUCGUUCAAAAGACUGAGAGUUACCCUGAUGACAUCAAAGCGAAAAAGGAAGAUGAUGAAGGCUAUUUAAGGGGUUGAGGUAUCAACAUGGGGUCAGCUGAAGAAGUUAACAACUGAGGCCCAGCAGAUGGUAGAAAAGCAGGAAGUGGAAGCUACUCCCUCAACCAUGUUUCUGGCUAUGCUAGCACUGGUUAGCUGCCCAUCUUCAGUAAAGUCUUGCACAGCCAAGUCCAAGGACUCUGAGUAAAUCAGCAAAAGAAACUCAUUUAGUAGAAAAAUGUUUCUGUAGUUUAAUUUCUCUCUUAUUGCUGGGUUGCAUUGGCAUUGUUUUGUUAUUGUUUUAAUAGCCAGAGCUUUCUCCUUGAUGUUUAAGUUUUACUUUCAUUAUAGUAGUUUAAAAAUAA
Long non-coding RNA from Pipistrellus kuhlii (Kuhl's pipistrelle), 609 nucleotides. RefSeq lists it as uncharacterized. The transcript has 2 exons. Lineage: Eukaryota; Metazoa; Chordata; Mammalia; Chiroptera; Vespertilionidae. The record is from RefSeq and is a predicted model, not a curated record.